UACGUAGGGGGCAAGCGUUGUCCGGAUUUAUUGGGCGUAAAGAGCGUGUAGGCGGCCAGAUAGGUCCGUUGUGAAAACUGGAGGCUUAACCUCCAGCUGUCGAUGGAAACCAUCUGGCUAGAGUCCGGAAGAGGAGAGUGGAAUUCCUGGUGUAGCGGUGAAAUGCGCAGAUAUCAGGAAGAACACCCGUGGCGAAGGCGGCUCUCUGGGACGGUACUGACGCUGAGGCGCGACAGCGUGGGGAGCGAACAGG
Molecule: ribosomal RNA, 253 nt
Filed under: uncultured bacterium
Lineage: Bacteria
Description: partial 16S ribosomal RNA
Rfam family: Bacterial small subunit ribosomal RNA
Source: RNAcentral